AUAUAAAAUGACUCUCGGCAACGGAUAUCUCGGCUCUUGCAUCGAUGAAGAACGUAGCGAAAUGCGAUACUUGGUGUGAAUUGCAGAAUCCCGUGAACCAUCGAGUCUUUGAACGCAAGUUGCGCCCGAAGCCAUUAGGUUGAGGGCACGCCUGCCUGGGUGUCACAC
This 168-nucleotide ribosomal RNA is filed under the name Wajira virescens. Its description in RNAcentral is "5.8S ribosomal RNA". It matches the Rfam family "5.8S ribosomal RNA". From Rfam's summary of the family: 5.8S ribosomal RNA (5.8S rRNA) is a component of the large subunit of the eukaryotic ribosome. The record is from RNAcentral. Lineage: Eukaryota; Viridiplantae; Streptophyta; Magnoliopsida; Fabales; Fabaceae.